UGCCCUAGUAACGGCGAGUGAAGCGGCAACAGCUCAAAUUUGAAAUCUGGCUCUUUCAGAGUCCGAGUUGUAAUUUGCAGAGGGCGCUUUGGCAUUGGCAGCGGUCCAAGUUCCUUGGAACAGGACGUCACAGAGGGUGAGAAUCCCGUACGUGGUCGCUAGCCUUUACCGUGUAAAGCCCCUUCGACGAGUCGAGUUGUUUGGGAAUGCAGCUCUAAAUGGGAGGUAAAUUUCUUCUAAAGCUAAAUACUGGCCAGAGACCGAUAGCGCACAAGUAGAGUGAUCGAAAGAUGAAAAGCACUUUGGAAAGAGAGUCAAAUAGCACGUGAAAUUGUUGAAAGGGAAGCGCUUGCAGCCAGACUUGCCUGUAGUUGCUUAUCCGGACUUUUGUCCGGUGCACUCUUCUGCGGGCAGGCCAGCAUCAGUUUGGGCGGUUAGAUAAAGGUCUCUGUCAUGUACCUCCUUUCGGGGAGGCCUUAUAGGGGAGACGACAUGUAACCAGCCUGGACUGAGGUCCGCGCAUCUGCUAGGAUGCUGGCGUAAUGGCUGUAAGCGGCCCGUCUUGAAACACGGACCAAGGAGUCUAACAUCUAUGCGAGUGUUUGGGUGUCAAGCCCAGACGCGUAAUGAAAGUGAACGGAGGUGGGAACCUUUUAGGUGCACCAUCGACCGAUCCUGAUGUCUUCGGAAGGAUUUGAGUAAGAGCAUGGCUGUUGGGACCCGAAAGAUGGUGAACUAUGCUUGAAUAGGGUGAAGCCAGAGGAAACUCUGGUGGAGGCUCGCAGCGGUUCUGACGUGCAAAUCGAUCGUCAAAUUUGGGCAUAGGGGCGAAAGACUAA
RNAcentral lists this ribosomal RNA (839 nucleotides) under Neosphaerellopsis thailandica. RNAcentral's name for it is "eukaryotic LSU rRNA". It matches the Rfam family "Eukaryotic large subunit ribosomal RNA", at positions 76 to 934 of the family's 3401-position model. The record is from RNAcentral. Lineage: Eukaryota; Fungi; Ascomycota; Dothideomycetes; Pleosporales; Phaeosphaeriaceae.